Molecule: transfer RNA, 73 nt
Filed under: Candidatus Woesearchaeota archaeon
Lineage: Archaea; Nanobdellati; Candidatus Woesearchaeota
Description: tRNA-Val
Rfam family: tRNA
About the family: Transfer RNA (tRNA) molecules are approximately 80 nucleotides in length. Their secondary structure includes four short double-helical elements and three loops (D, anti-codon, and T loops).
Source: RNAcentral
GGGCCUGUAGUCUAGUGGCUAUGAUGUCGCCUCGACACGGCGAAGGUCAUCGGUUCGAAUCCGAUCAGGCCCA